This 253-nucleotide ribosomal RNA is filed under the name uncultured bacterium. RNAcentral describes it as "partial 16S ribosomal RNA". It matches the Rfam family "Bacterial small subunit ribosomal RNA", at positions 524 to 776 of the family's 1533-position model. The record is from RNAcentral.
UACGGAGGGGGCUAGCGUUGUUCGGAAUUACUGGGCGUAAAGCGCACGUAGGCGGCUUUGUAAGUUAGAGGUGAAAGCCCGGGGCUCAACUCCGGAAUUGCCUUUAAAACUGCAUCGCUAGAAUUGUGGAGAGGUAAGUGGAAUUCCGAGUGUAGAGGUGAAAUUCGUAGAUAUUCGGAAGAACACCAGUGGCGAAGGCGGCUCACUGGCCCGGUACUGACGCUGAGGCGCGAAAGCGUGGGGAGCAAACAGG